This 253-nucleotide ribosomal RNA is filed under the name uncultured bacterium. Its description in RNAcentral is "partial 16S ribosomal RNA". It matches the Rfam family "Bacterial small subunit ribosomal RNA", at positions 524 to 776 of the family's 1533-position model. The record is from RNAcentral.
UACGUAGGGUGCAAGCGUUAAUCGGAAUUACUGGGCGUGAAGCGUGCGCAGGCGGUUUUGUAAGUCAGAUGUGAAAUCCCCGGGCUUAACCUGGGAACUGCGUUUGAAACUACAAGGCUAGAGUGUGGCAGAGGGGGGUGGAAUUCCACGUGUAGCAGUGAAAUGCGUAGAGAUGUGGAGGAACACCGAUGGCGAAGGCAGCCCCCUGGGUUAACACUGACGCUCAGGCACGAAAGCGUGGGGAGCAAACAGG